GGGGGCAUAGCUCAGUGGUGGAGUGCGUACUUGGUGUGCACAAGGUCCUGGGUUCAAUCUCCAGUGCCUCUG
RNAcentral lists this transfer RNA (72 nucleotides) under Camelus bactrianus (Bactrian camel). It matches the Rfam family "tRNA". Rfam says of the family: Transfer RNA (tRNA) molecules are approximately 80 nucleotides in length. Their secondary structure includes four short double-helical elements and three loops (D, anti-codon, and T loops). RNAcentral also lists the same sequence under 2 other names. Lineage: Eukaryota; Metazoa; Chordata; Mammalia; Artiodactyla; Camelidae. The record is from Rfam by way of RNAcentral.